GGUCUUCAGGAGAAGCGUAUUAUAUUGCGUUACGGUAAUCAACGGUUCAGGCAAGUUUUUCAAGUUCUUUUUACUUAAACUCUUUUAAGAGUGGUUUCAGACAGAUAUGCUUAUGAAUUGUACUCUGUACAUCUUGCAUGUAUAAGUCGGGUAUGAAAGGCUGAUCACCUUCAUUACCAGUUGGUCCAGAUAUAUUGUUAUUCCUGUUAAAUACUUGUUCAGUCAAAACUUUGUUCAUGCUAAUUCACAAAUACAUUGUGAAGGAUAGUCAGCUUAUUAUUCAAACUCUUUCCAUCAUGAUAUAUCUUUGCAUUGUUUUUAAACUUGCUGGGCAACUUUCAUGCUCACCCUUGCUAUAUCAUGAUAAAACAUUGCAGAUAAGGCGAAUACGGCCAGUUACAGGAAAAGGAAAAUGCCAAGUUCAGCUUGGGAUAGAAUGUACAGCUAAUUUGUAAAAGUAUGGUUGAAGAAUAGUAUUGUUAUGUGUUAGAUAGCUUAUGAUUUGUGUUUAAGUAAAGGUUACUCGACCUUGGGGAAUAGUGUGUAAUGUAAUGUAUAAACAAUUUAUGUUUAUAUCUUCCGCAAACAGUUGUAGAAAUAGCGAACCGGAUCCGCGGCGAUUCGGGACCCGGAUUCGGGGCUGCUACAGUUGGUAUCAAAGCUGUUGGUUAUGAAGCUUAGGUAGCAAUACCUGAGACCAAUAACCGCAGUGAUUAGGAUAAGUACUAACUCACAUAGAGUUAGUUGAAGAAUCUCGCAGGGUCAAAAAGUUAGGUUUAAGUAUGGUACCAUUGUACUCGAAACUAGUUGAUGUAUGGUAUCUGGGCUAAACGAUUCCUUCAUAGAGCGGAGGUAUAUACGAACUAGCAACUCGGAACCUAGUUUGUUGGUUGUUUGUGGGAAACCACUCAGCGUACCAUAUUGAAAACUGUUAGAGACUCGAUGUGUACCAAGUAUAGGAAGUGGAUAGAUAGAGUCUAAGAGAUUACAAGUGUAAGGAUGGGAGAUCGUAAAACAAAACGAUCACAGAAUAGCAAUGAAUCGUAAUAUAUACGAUGAGAUCACUCCGUGAUCUGAUAAGGUUAUGGUAUGAAGAAAGAUCCAGAGAAUGAUGAAAAGUUUACAGCAAGAUUGCUGUGUAUGAAUUGUACUAUAAAUUGGUACAGAUCCAGAAGAGAAUUAUAAAUACGAAUUAAAUUCGUAUGGAGAAGGGGUUAGUGUUAGGUGGGGAUUCAAUUGAGGACUCAUGUCGGCAGCUGAGUUGUAUGAUUCUUCGUAUGGGAGCUGAAUUGUACUUGGUGUAAAAACCACUUAGUUUCUGGCACUGAUAAUCAUUGAAAUGUUUAUGUCGCGCUAUUUGUUAUAUGCAUGUUCAGAGGGUGAUUCCUUUCUCAUGUGUAUAACAGGUAGAUAGGUCAUAGAUAGAGGAUAUAAGGUUAAGUACGAGUUCUUAAAACUCAUACUUAUGGUACGUUCGUGACUCAUGAUUAUAUGAAAUGUUUAUGGACCCCUCAGCGAAUGGACGCCAAAGGUCUGUCUAGGAAAGUUCUUAAACUCAUAUGAUUGUGGUAAGUUCCUGAACUCAUAAGUGUGGUAAGUUUGACGAACUGGGUAUAGUUAUGUGUGAAAGAAGUAUUGAGGAUUAUAAGAAUAGAUAGAUCUAUUAAGUAAUGGAUCAGUAGAAAAAGUGAAGUUGAUGAUGGAAGCAUAGGUAUUCCAAAUCUUCUAGCUAUGCUAGACUUCGAAUUUUUGACAUCAAGCUAAAUACGCACUAUGUGCCUUUUGAAAACAAAAAUAUAGACUCGUAAUCAUUUUUGAAACGGUUUAAAGUACAGUCUAUGCUACUUAUUUCGGCUAGACGCGAAAGAUUUGAAGUAUCAAAAGUUGUUUUUAUUUAUCACUUAUGUACCAUGCAACCUGGUGCAGAGAUGAUAAAAAAAUGAUGGAGUCAUCAAUGCAGUAUUACUUAGUGUUGGAUGUGAUCUCAGGAUCGUCAACCCACUAUGGUAUGAUGUAGUAUGAUAAAAUCACCAAAUGACGGAAUCCUCAACGGACUGUAAAUACAGUGCGGCAUCAUGACGUCAUUCUCGAAAAAUGUUUUCAAAAUUUUAAUUUGCCAACGGGGUUUGGCUAUACUUAAAUAAUUCUAUUGAACUGAAUUAUCGAUAUGAGUCUAUGCUAUUCGAUUCAGCUAGACUAAUGUUUAUGAAAACUCUAAGUGUUCAUUGAAAGAAAUUUCCCGAACCAAAUUGUUUUGGUGCGGAAUCCUAUACUAAGUCUGAGGUGAACAACCCUGAAAAUGGGGAUAUACUAAUUGGAUAGAAUAUUCCAAUUUAAGGACGCAUAUAGUCGUUCGGAUUACUAAGGUACAAUAGACUGAUCAUCUAAAGUACCAGAAUCGGUAGUUUACCUUCUUCGUGAUUGUAAACAUACCUAUUAAAGAAAUGUUUAAGAGGUAGAGUACCUUUCUUUCUUAAUUGAAAGAGGUAGCAGGUAGAAAUACCCCUAAACCUCGGAGUUCAAAGUUCAUAAUUUUUAUGAUCCCUCAGACAGAUAUGAAAAGUUUUUUUUUAAACCCUUCAGAGUAAUGUUGUGGUAGAACGUGAUGAUUGAUAUGAAAUAAUGUAAACUCGUUGUGUACGAGUAGAAUCUGAGAUGAUUGAAUAAAGGUUAUUACGACAACCUAGUUUUGAAGAAUGUUUAGAAGAUGUAAACUCCUAGUGAGUAGUUCUGGUGAAAUGUGAUGAUAGAAAAAGAAAUCCUCAAAUGAGGAAAUUGUAAAGGUUAAGUUAAAAACCUAGUUAUGAAUAAGAGAAUAAGCAAAGAUUAGUAUGCUUUAAUUUCGAGGACGAAAUUCUUAGAAGAAGGGGUGAAUGUGACAACCCGAAAAGUUUCUAAAAUCUUGAAUGAUUAGAAUAAAGGUUAAAGAAUAAAACCUAGAUGAGAAUUUGAGAAUUUAUUUAAAAUUUUCAAGAAAAACCUAUAUGGUUUGAUAUUCGAAUGAGAAUAGAGAAAAUAUGGGUUACAAAAUUCCAAAACCCUAGAAAUGAAUUAAUAUGUACUUGAAGGAAUAUCAAGAAUAAGGUAUUACGAUACCUGUAAAUUCGAUGUGAACUGAAUAGUCUAAGAAAUGUUAUAUAAGUACAUAUGGAAAUUUUAUUAUUGGAGAUAAGAUUUCACAUGAAGAGAUGCUAUGAGGUUAAACGAAGAUGAGUAUAUGUAUAGAAAUAUAUAUACUUAGUAAGGUGCUAUAUAUAUUUUAGCAAGAGGAAUGAUGAAUUAAGUUAAUGAUAUAAGGAUCAAGAUAAAACUAUGUUAGUAAUUAACAUAGCUUGAACGUUGGCCUUGACUGGCAAAUAAGAAUUUGAAUAAGUAUAAAGUCGUUAGUUAAUACGAUUAGCAAUAAGAAGGGAGUAAUUUAAAACUCAAAAUUUGAGUUAGAGAUAGAAUUUUGAAGCAUGGACUGCUCGGUUGCGUCCAGAACGUCGAAUUUAGUCAGAAUGGACAGUAAACACAAAAUGUGUAAAGGUUGACUUUUGGUCAAAGUCAACAGUUGACUUUUUAUGGAGAAAAGUCAAAAUUAGUGUGAGAAGUGAAAUAUGUUAUGAUUAUGUGAAUUAUGGAUAUGAGUAAAUAAAUAUACAUUAUAUAAUGUGAAUACAUUUAUUUUGUAUAUAAGAGUGAAGUAAGAAUUAAGUUAUGUAACCUAAUAUAUAUAUUAGGUGUGGUGAUUAAAUAACCUGAGAGGUUAUAAUAUGGGAGAAUAUUAGUAUAUAAAUGUAUAUACUGACAUUAAGAGAUUUAUUUUAUAUAUCUCCAAUAAUUAAUUUUAUAACCAAGUAUAAUUUGGUUUAUGAAAUUAAAAGGGCAUGAGUAAGGAAUUUAUUUUCUAGAGUGAGAGAUGUAAACCCUAAUUUAAAGAUAAGGGUAGAAUGGAAUAGAAUUAAAAAUAAUGGACUAUAAUAAGGUUAUAGCCCAAUUAAUUUGAAUAGAGUCCAAGAGGAGUAGAUUUAAUGGACUAAUGAUGUUAUAUCAUCUAAAUAAGCCCAAUUAAUUAAUUAAGCAUGGGACUUGUAGAUAAAGUGAUUAAGGGCAAUUAAUUAUUUAAUCUAGCCCAAUAUAUUAUGUAUGGGACAAGUAUUAUAAUGACCCAAUUAAAUUUUGGGUGGAAGCCCAAGUUAGUUUUUGUUAGUAGGUAACACAAGUAAAAUGGCUAGCUCAAUGGGAUUAAUUAAUGGCCCAAACUAAGCCUACUUGUGGGAGAAUAGUAAUAAUAUUAAAAUUAUAUUAAGUUAAGAGAUAUAUUUUUAUUAUCUCAAGAUUUUAAUUUUAUAACUUAAUUAAAAUAUGCUUAAUUGGGUUAUAGAAUUUAUUGUAGUAGAGUGAUGAUUUAAAUUCUAAUUAUUUGGAAUGAUACUCUAAUUAAAUAUUUAGAUUGGAUAUCCUAAUUAAAUAUUUAGGGUUGGGUAAGAUAGAAAAGAAUUUGACUAUGUUAAUUUACAUGGCCCAAAGAAUUAAAUUUUAAGUCCAAUAUAUUAUUUAUUGAUAGCCCAAAAGAUGGAAAUGGUGGCCCAAAUUUAAGCCCAAUUAAGGAGGGACAUAUUGGACAUUUGGUAUGCUAAAUAAAAAAAAAAAAAAAAAAAAUCAAUUAUUGAUAUGGAAAUGUCCAUUUUACCCUUUUGUCCCAUUUUGGUGAAUAAUUGCUAAAGAAUCCUAUGUUCAAUAAUUGGCAACUUGUUGGGGCAAUAAUCCAAGCAAUAUUAGCCCCUCAUAUCAACCAAACCAUUUGCAUCAAUUAUUUUCAAGAAUUAAAGAGAGAGAAAGUUCAUCCAUGGAAGAAGGAAGAAGAAGAAGAAGAAGGAAGGCUUAAGAAAAAGGUAUGAAAAUUUCCUAAAUUCAAAACUCUUGUUAGUUUAAAAGUGUUUUGAUAUGGUGUUUUAGAUCAAGUGUUGAACUUAUGAUUUUGAUCCAUAUGAGGGAAGAUCUACAUGAUAUAUGAUAUUUUAUGGUUAGAUCUUGCCAUUUUUAGGGUUGAUAGGCUUGAACAAAGAAGAAUAACCAAAACAGUUUUUUUUGUUUUAAAUGAGUUAGUGGACUGCUGCCCUAAAACAGAAAAUUUCGGAUUUGUUAGAGUGCUCUAAAAAUUCUGGACUUGUGAUAUGUUAUAGUACACUCAAUAAGCUUUCCAUAGACUCCGAAACGGACUAAAUCCGACAUCGGAGGAGGGAGUUAUGGGAUUUCUCCCAAACUACACAAAGUUAAGAAAACUGUGAAAAGGACAGUUUUGGAACAGUCACUUCCGGGCUAAAUUCCGGGAGCUAAACAUAUCCAAAUAUGGAUUGUGAUAUAUGAAAACUGUAGUUCGGAAAGAUACGAAUCCAACAAAAUUGACGGAUCAUUAAUCGGAGUUACAGAUUUCGUUUUAUUUAAGUUUUGGUGAAGGACUCCAAAACUGCCAAAGUGCAAAAAGUUUCUGGCCAAAAUUUUCCGAGGGCUGUUUUGGACAUUUAGUUAAUGAGAAAAAUUACAGGCUUUUGGGAAAUGAAAAUAUAUGGUAAUAUGUAGCUCGUGUCCAAAAAUGAGCUAAUUCCGGCUUAAAACGACCAAGUUAUGACCAUUUCAAUUUUUGUGAUUUUCCGACGGAAAUCGCUAUAACCGGAGUUCUACAACUCCGAUUGCCACGAAAUUUAAAAUGGAGCAUCACGUUAACAUUUAUUAGGCUAUGUCAAAAGAUGGGCAUCUAUGGAGUUAAGCACGAGGUAGCUAAUUUUCUUAAGUCACGCACUAUUUAUGAUUUUUGAAAAAUAGUAAAAGAAAUUGAAAAAUUACGGAAAAAUAUUUUUUAUGUAUGAAAUACAUGUAUAUAUGUUUUACCAAAGGAUAAAAAAAUAAUAAGUUGAUUUGGUAUUUUUCGUGAAAAAGAAUAGUGAGAUCGGGAUACUGAAAUAAAAUCCGUCUUACUGAAAUGGUAUUUCGGUUUACUAAGAUGUUAUCUAAUUUACUAGGAUAACAUAUAAAAAUGAAUAACUUAUAAGUAUAAGUUAUGAUGUGAUUAAAAGAAUAUCAAAGUAUAAUAAUAAUAUUAAGACUUAAAACUAAUGUCUAAUACUUAACUAUAUGUUAUGACUAACCGAAAGAUCUAUUAUAGGUUUUAUAUGCUGUAUAGACUGAUAGGAUUAUGUGUUUAAGUUAUUUUAUAACGGUGAUGAUAUUAUUCUAAUAUUGGAGAUCUAUAUUAUUAAUAUUAGGUCUUCAGGAGAAGCGUAUUAUAUUGCGUUACGGUAAUCAACGGUUCAGGCAAGUUUUUCAAGUUCUUUUUACUUAAACUCUUUUAAGAGUGGUUUCAGACAGAUAUGCUUAUGAAUUGUACUCUGUACAUAUUGCAUGUAUUCAUCAGGUAUGAAAGGCUGAUCACCUUCAUUACCAGUCAGUUCAGAUAUAAUUGUUAUGUUCAUUUUCAAUGUUCAUUCAGCUUUGAAAUUUUGUUCAUGCUAAUUCACAACUACAUUGUGAAGGAUAGCCAGCUUAUUAUUCAAACUCUUUCAAUCAUGAUAUAUCUUUACCUUGUUUUUUUUAAACUUGCUGGGCAACUUUCAUGCUCACCCUUGCUAUAUCAUGAUAAAACAUUGCAGAUAAGGCGAAUACGGCCAGAUACAGGAAAAGGAUAAUGCCAAGUUCAGCUUGGGAUAAAAUGUGAAGUUAAGUUGUAAAGUAUGUUGAAGAAUAGUAUUGUCAU
Molecule: long non-coding RNA, 6736 nt
Filed under: Panax ginseng (ginseng)
Lineage: Eukaryota; Viridiplantae; Streptophyta; Magnoliopsida; Apiales; Araliaceae
Description: long non-coding RNA (PGIN_LNC011708)
Source: RNAcentral